Molecule: long non-coding RNA, 2269 nt
Organism: Hibiscus syriacus
Lineage: Eukaryota; Viridiplantae; Streptophyta; Magnoliopsida; Malvales; Malvaceae
Exons: 7
Source: RefSeq, a predicted model, not a curated record
UUUACGUUUUCAAACAGAAAUCAAGAUUUUAGAAACCCCAAAUCCUGACCCAACUGAUCUUCCCAUCUUCGAUCAUCGACUUCAGGUCAGGGGUGAUCGAUAGUGCCACCACUGCCAGUAGUGUGAUUGUCUCGCUACUCUAAUAUUGGUUGACAAUCACUUGUAUCAUCCAUCAUUUUUUAUAAAAUAAGCAAAGGGCAUUCAAGCACCAUCAUCGAUCUCGGUCAUCACCUAACGGUGUCGUGCACCGUCUUUGUCAUCGUGCUUGCCCUCGUCUGGUGACUAAAACCCCUCAACCAAUUCGUCGAAUAUUGUCGUCGAUCGUCGUGGAAAGCUCCCGGAAGUUUCGUCAAAAACCUAACCAAAUCGUUUUUCCCUCCGAUUUAGGCCAUGUUAGGCCUACGUUCGCCUCACUGCCUUCAUAUUCGGGAUCCUCAGCUCAUUCCAAUCAAAACAUGAUCGGAUUCAUCGCCCCACUGUCGUUUGUUUGUAGUCCACCGUGACUUUAAGGGGUGUGAAAUUAAAGUUCAAGAGCGAUCGAUGGAGAUUAUUUGGUCGAUCGAUGUACAUAGAAAUUAAGGCUAAGAUCCCUACAAACAUUUGAUCAAGUAAAGAUUGGCUCUGCUAUCAAUUACUACAUGGAAUGAGAUGAAGAGCCUAUUUUUGGAGAAGUUUUUUCAUGUCUCCAAGGCCGUAAACAUCAGAAAAGAAAUCUAUGGCAUUACGCAACUCACUGAUGAGACUUUAUACGAGUAUUGAGAGAUGUUCAAGUGAUUAUGCGCUAGUUUUCCCUGUCAUCAAAUCAUGGACCAACUUCUAAUCUAAUAUUCUAUGAAGAAUUGUUGCCAAUGGAUAGAAGCACGAUCGAUGUAGCAAGUGGUGGAGCUUUAGUGAACCUCACGCCUGAAGGAGCCAAGGAGUUAAUUUCGUACAUGGAUGAAAAUUCCCAAAAAUGUGGUACAAGAUGAACAAAUCUGUUAACCAAGUCAGCAAGGUAAGAAUUGAUUCUCUUAAAAAUAAAAUUUCUGACGUAAUUACUUUGGUUCAUCAAAUUGUUGCAGGACAGGUACAAGUACAAAAGCUUGUGGAAUAUGUUCAAUUCAAGGGCAUCCUACGGAUAUGGUUUCUACAUUGCAAUAUGAUUGGUACAAGAGGAUAAUGUUUUAGGUGGAUUCCAAAAUCAACUCUAAAGGAAGAACGAUCCUUUUACUAAUCUUACAACCAAGAUGGAGAGAUCGUCCAAAAUCUAAGUUACAAGAAUCAAAGAGGACAACAAAGAUAUAACCCUAAAAAUUUUGCUAGACUGGCCGAACAUCAAUCUUCAAAUUCAGGAAAUGAGGAUGAGAAUUCAAAGUUUAGGCAAUCAAAUUACUCAAUUGGCCACGUCAGUAAAUUGGAAGCACAAAAUUUUGGAAAAUUAUCUUCAUAAACGGAGGUGAAUCCAAAGGAAAAUUGUAGUGCAAUUUCACUGACAAGCGGUAAAAAAAUUCCUUCAGGAUCAAUUCCACCUAAAAGAAGAUGAGCAAAAGGAAGAUUCAAUGUGUUGUUAAAGGUUAUAUAAGCCAAAGGAAGAUGAGAAAAAUGUUAUCUUGGAUACAUUUAGGAAGGUUGAGAUUAAUAUUCCAUUGGUGGAUGCUAUCAAGAAAAUUCCUAAGUAUACAAGAUUUUGAAGGAAUUAUGCACUAAUAAACGGAAACCGAAAGAAAAAGAAAGGGUUCAGGCCCCCAAUUUGGAACUAAAAGAUUUACUCGACCACCUUAAAUACAUAUACUUAGGAGAAGAUGAGACAUUUUUGGUCAUAAUCUCAAAAGGACUCACAACCGACAAGAGAAGAAAUUGGUUCAGGUUUUAAAAGAGCAAGAAGCAAUUGGAUGGACCUUAACCGACAUCAAAGGUAUAAGUCCAUCAUUUGUAUGCAUAGAAUACUGCUUGAAGAUGGUACCAAACCUUCAAGGGAAGCAAAAGGAGGUUAAAUCUAUCCAUGAACGAAGUGGCGAUGAAGGAAAUACAUAAAACUAUUAGAAGCAGGAAUAACUUAUCAAAUCUCAUAUAGUAAAUAGGUAAGUCCAAUUCACGUUGUCCCAAAGAAGACAGGGAUCACUAUAGUAAGAAAUUCGAACAAUAAACUUGUACCAAUGUGUGUGCAAAAAAGUUGUCGAAUGGCAUAGAUUUUAGAAAGCUUAAUCAUGUGACUAGGAAAGAUCACUUUCCUUUACCUUUCAUAGACCAAUGUUAGAGAGGUUGGCUGGAAAAUCUUUCUUUUAUUUUC